RNAcentral lists this transfer-messenger RNA (330 nucleotides) under bovine gut metagenome. RNAcentral's name for it is "Alphaproteobacteria transfer-messenger RNA". It matches the Rfam family "Alphaproteobacteria transfer-messenger RNA". From Rfam's summary of the family: Bacterial tmRNA, also known as 10Sa RNA or SsrA, is named for its dual tRNA and mRNA-like properties. Its role is to liberate the mRNA from a stalled ribosome. The record is from RNAcentral.
GCAAUUUCCAGUAUAAAGAUUAUAAUCAAAACUGUCACGCAAGUGAUGAUGAUUCUGAAACCUUUGUGGAAUAGUCGUUUUGGACCCGGGGGCGGUACCCGGCACCUCCACCAAGAAAAUUUAUGGGGGUGAACCAGUUUCGACAGGCGAAGUAAAGACAAUUUGGCUGAAUCCGACGCGGUGUCGUUAAAAACCAAUAAAAAAAUGAAUGCGAACGAUAAUGUUCGUCUUGCAAUGGCUGCCUAACACUUAGGUUGAACAUAGUUGGCAAUUGUUGAUUAUGUUCGUUUAAGCUUUUGCGGGGCCACCGGGUGCCUGGCACCAGAAACC